AACGAACGCUGGCGGCAUGCCUAACACAUGCAAGUCGAACGAGACCUUCGGGUCUAGUGGCGCACGGGUGCGUAACGCGUGGGAACCUGCCCUUAGGUUCGGAAUAAUUCCCCGAAAGGGGUGCUAAUACCGGAUAAUGUCUUCGGACCAAAGAUUUAUCGCCUUUGGAUGGGCCCGCGUUGGAUUAGCUAGUUGGUAGGGUAAAAGCCUACCAAGGCGACGAUCCAUAGCUGGUCUGAGAGGCUGAUCAGCCACACUGGGACUGAGACACGGCCCAGACUCCUACGGGAGGCAGCAGUGGGGAAUAUUGGACAAUGGGCGAAAGCCUGAUCCAGCAAUGCCGCGUGAGUGAUGAAGGCCUUAGGGUUGUAAAGCUCUUUUACCCGGGAUGAUAAUGACAGUACCGAAAGAAUAAGCACCGGCUAACUCCGUG
This 433-nucleotide ribosomal RNA is filed under the name uncultured bacterium. RNAcentral's name for it is "partial 16S ribosomal RNA". It matches the Rfam family "Bacterial small subunit ribosomal RNA", at positions 29 to 507 of the family's 1533-position model. The record is from RNAcentral.